This 214-nucleotide long non-coding RNA is filed under the name Elaeis guineensis (African oil palm). RNAcentral's name for it is "long non-coding RNA (EGUI_LNC033929)". Lineage: Eukaryota; Viridiplantae; Streptophyta; Magnoliopsida; Arecales; Arecaceae. The record is from RNAcentral.
ACAUGGAAUGUGGUUGUGGACCAAGUCAAAGUAGGAAUUAGUUUGGAUUUCAAAUUCUGUGAGAUAGAAUUUUAGGAAACCAAAACUCUUUCCUUAUGGUACUGAUUUUAUCCAAAUUUUUUUUUGAAAUUUUUAUGAAUUUUAUGACACAUAUUGUGCACCCUUUUUUGGUAGUCCAUGGCAAAAAAAGAAGGAGGAGGUGCCUAGGAGUUGG